This 209-nucleotide unclassified non-coding RNA is filed under the name plant metagenome. RNAcentral describes it as "partial contains small subunit ribosomal RNA and internal transcribed spacer 1". The stretch from base 1 to 46 matches the Rfam family "Eukaryotic small subunit ribosomal RNA", at positions 1786 to 1831 of the family's 1831-position model. The record is from RNAcentral.
AAGUCGUAACAAGGUUUCCGUAGGUGAACCUGCGGAAGGAUCAUUACAGAGGUUUAUCCUUAUUUUGUGAAUUUUAUAUCUGGUGUGUGUUUUUGUUACGAGUGCGGAGCACGAGUUGUGAGAGCAACGAGUCGUACCACUCGUCCAACAUACUACAAAUAUGCACCAAACUUUAUACAACAUAUUGUCUGAAGAAAAGAAAUGAAAAA